This 23-nucleotide microRNA is filed under the name Gallus gallus (chicken). RNAcentral describes it as "gga-miR-1643-3p". Lineage: Eukaryota; Metazoa; Chordata; Aves; Galliformes; Phasianidae. The record is from miRBase by way of RNAcentral.
UAAAAGUGCUGCUGGUGGAAGAA